RNAcentral lists this ribosomal RNA (810 nucleotides) under Triticum aestivum (bread wheat). RNAcentral describes it as "partial small subunit ribosomal RNA". Lineage: Eukaryota; Viridiplantae; Streptophyta; Magnoliopsida; Poales; Poaceae. The record is from RNAcentral.
AUGCACCUCUUCUUCAUCCUCCCUUCCACCGGGUUUCUCGGCUGGCAGCUGCGCGCCAUGAACUCCACUCUCUUCAUCAUCGGCGUCAUAGGGAACAUUAUCUCGGUUCUGGUCUUCGUUUCUCCCAUCCCGACAUUCUGGAGGAUCGUGAGGAGCAGGUCAACGGAGGACUUCGAGGCGGCGCCGUACGUCCUCACGUUGCUCAACACGCUGCUAUGGCUCUACUACGGCCUCACCAAGCCUGACGGCCUGCUCAUCGCCACUGUCAAUGGCUUCGGCGCUGUCAUGGAGACCAUCUAUAUCGUCCUCUUCCUCGUCUACGCCGCCGAUCAUGCGAAAAGGGUUAAAACCGCAAAGUUGGUGGCAGCUUUGGACAUCGGGUUUUUUGGGGCCGUGUUCGCGGCCACAACAUUCUUCAUUGGUGGGCUUGACAUGAAAAUCGUGGUCAUUGGAUUGAUAUGUGCUUGCCUUAGCGUGUUCAUGUAUGGGUCCCCACUCGCCGCCGUGAGAAGGGUGAUCGCCUCGAGGAGCGUGGAGUACAUGCCCUUCUUCCUCUCCUUCUUCCUCUUCCUCAACGGAGGCGUCUGGGCCACGUAUGCCAUACUCGACAGAGAUGUCUUCCUCGGGGUCCCAAAUGGGAUAGGCUGCUUCUUGGGAGGCAUCCAGCUGGUUAUCUACGCGGUAUACAGGAACAGUAAGGUCGGCUGUCAGUCUCAGGGCACUCAUGAAGCAUCAUAUGAUGCUUCGACAUCUCUUCUGUCCUCCUAUGCCGGCAGACAUGGCCAAAACGAUGUAUCCACUCACGUUUAG